AGUGGGUUUCCAGAUGCCUGUGCAGAUGUGCUUUGGCUAGUAACUUCUGACUCGUGUAGGAAGCAUGGUAGAGACAGGAGGUGCUAUUCUUGAAGACAUUUACUGAGUCUUUAAAAAGGAAGCCUCAUUUUCAACAGUGAAAGCUGUAAAUUGAGUCCCAACCCCCUUUUUUUCCAAUGGAAUCUGGGAGGGUGUGGUCUCACCUCUGCAUGGCACCACCUUAUUCUCUUCCUGCCCAAACCCUGGAUGUGGCUUUUCUUAGAACAUUUGCAUUUUCAAAGGAAUGUCCCUUUUUAUACUUUUGAAAGAUACUAACGGAGAUGAAAUGGUUUACACAUGCUGGUAAUUUUCCAGAUGUCAGCUGUCAACAGGAAAGCAGUGACUGCCUGCUCGAUAACAGGCAGUUCCACAGAUGUCAACUGUGCAAUACAAAGUCACACUGCUCUCAUAAUUUUUAAUUAGCCUGAUAGAAAUCCCAUGUCAAUUUUAAGUUUGCCUCAACCUAUGUAAGGACAAAUAGAGACAGCUUAGAAUAGUGCGCUUUUGUCCCGUGGAGAAGAUCUAAACCAUGGGACAGUAGACAAUACUAUCUGACAGGCACCAAGGCUGCACCCAGUAGUGUCUAUCUUUCAUCCAGAUCCUUUUACCUUAAACUAUAAAGUUGGAAAGAUGCCAGGACUUCAUUUCAGAGUGGUAGAGGGCUCCUAAGUCCUUAACUCCUACCGUGUUCUUUUAAAACUGUGCCUUUUUGAAAGAGAUUGGGACUAUCUUGCAUCAUUGGGAUGUAGAGCAUCUAGGGGCCAGGAUGAGGGGGCAGAGCCACCCUAACGGAGGGACAAUGGAACCUGCAUUUGGUUAGAGUCUGAUGAUUCACAUUGCUGGUCACUAGCUUUUACAUGUUGCCUGUCUGGCUGUCCAGCUGUCCCUCUCGAGGUUCCUUGGCUGUUGGGCUUAUCCCUGUUUCUAUGUGAGCAUCUUUUUGACAAUGGAUUGUCUAAAAUAGAACACUGUGGUAAUGCAUGGCACCACUUUUUAGCAUCUGUCCUGCCUCCUCACAGAAGGUAGUGAAAGAAUGCCUGAAGUUGUCCCCGGCCUGGCAGGGACAGUGGGUAUGCGUGGCCUCGACAGUGGUCUGGUGGAAGCCAGGUUUCCUGUCCUCCAAAGAGAGAGGACAAGAAGGAAAGGUCACCUUGUACUAUGUGGUUGGGUUUUGUUUUGUUUCUUUUCUAUUUUUGGUCCUAAGAGACUAUAAAUCGUAAUGCCCCAAGAGCAAACCCGGGACUGGGAGUGUUUAUCAUCCAUCUCCUGACCAUGUGAACAGCAAAUUUGUCAUUUGGAAAGCUAGCCUAUUUCAGUAGUACAAUUACUUAACUUCAAAUGCAAGCAAACACUAAAUGUCAGAUUUUUUUAACAACAAAAAAUGGUCUCUUAGCAUUACACAUUCCAAGUUCUAAACAUAUGAUUCAUGUUUUGUACUUUGAACAAGAAUAGCAAAAUCUAUUUUCUGUAUGAGGGGGGGAAAACUAAAUAUCAGCCAUGGGAUUUUUUUUAAACCAAAGAAGCAGUGGCUUUUAACUUCUGCCAGCCCCAUCUUCUUCCCUACACUAUUGAGCCCCGCUGGGUUACACUCAUCGGCUUACUCAUCGGAACAGCACCUCACAGGAAUACGGAGUCAGCGUUUACAGAAGAACCCUCACUAGUUUCUGAUACGAUCAAGGCCAGGGGCGGGGCAUAAUACAGAAAGGAGGAAGAGGAAGGGAAAGAAGGAAGGGACCACUGUCAUAGCUGAGUAGUAGUUUCUGUGAAUGGUAGCAUAGCUCAGAGGUUCUGAGCUUGUCCUGAGCCAUCACUGGACAUGCUGGCUUUGUGUAAGUUCUUCUUAAAUCCACUUGACAUCACGACAUUCUUUCCCUUGGCAGCGGGUCCUUCCUACGUAAAACAUCAGAACAGGUUGUUUAUCAGAAGAUACCAAGAUCCAUAAUGUAUCAGCCAGGUUUAAAAACUCUUGACAUGUUUAAUGAUGAACUCACAGGUCAACCAGGCUUUCUGACGUCAGUCCCCAAAACCCAUCUGUAGAUCAGAACCUUGCCGAAACCUCUGUGCACUAGGCGCUACUUAGGGCGUUUCAUUUCUACUGUCCAUACUUGUCUCUACGAGACAUGAGAAAGUGCAAGGCUGCGAGAGGGGGUUGGGUAGAGCUCGGAGCAGGUACAUGACAUGUCAUUUGGUCCCUUUGAUGUGCUGGGUAGAGUUGGCGUUGUAGAGACCGCUGUGUUCAUGCAAUCACUAAUUCUAUGUUGUAUACAAAUAAACAGCUAAAAGAGAAAAAGUAAACCCAUUAAAGCUAUUAAACUAUAUGUUCCUACU
This 2367-nucleotide long non-coding RNA is filed under the name Mus musculus (house mouse). RNAcentral describes it as "long non-coding RNA chr3:69558432-69560799". Lineage: Eukaryota; Metazoa; Chordata; Mammalia; Rodentia; Muridae. The record is from RNAcentral.